Molecule: long non-coding RNA, 1029 nt
Filed under: Malus domestica (apple)
Lineage: Eukaryota; Viridiplantae; Streptophyta; Magnoliopsida; Rosales; Rosaceae
Description: long non-coding RNA (MDOM_LNC020484)
Source: RNAcentral
UUUGCACGAAAUUGGUUGUUUUGGAUGGAUGAUGGGCUAGCUAGAAGGUUUUUCUCCACACAUGACACACUUGCAUACAAAUCAAUCUCCAAUUGCUUUUCAAUAAACUAUGAUGCUCAACACCCCAGAUUAACCCUGUGAUGCACAAAUUAACUCUCAGAUUUUCCUUUACUCAUUGAAUUGGAUGAAUGCAUGCGACAACCCAAAUCAUACUCUAAAAGUCCCCUAUAUGAAUGCAUAAUAGAGAUACAAUUAAAGAUCAUUACGUUCCAUGAAAAUCAUAAGCGUUGACGAGGCAAUUGUAACUAUGAAUGCAUGAUACGUUUUCCAAGAAUUUAUUUAACGCGAUUGUGACAAGCAACCUUCACUAUUCAUGAAUAUAAACUUGUAACGAUUAGGUGAAACUUAUUUAUAUCCUAGCAUCAAAUUCAUGCAUGAAAACUAAGUAUGCAUCCUUAGUAAACAUACACAAAUCCGUUAUGAAUAAAAUAGAUAAUUGAAUUGCAAUAACAACUUAUCAAAUCACAAUUGGAAGAAAUCAAUUCAUAUUGCAAAUAUAUUCAUGGUUUCGAAUUCUCCUCUAGCCAAAAGAGGUUUAGUUCCUCAUACUUACAAUUAAACGGAAACAAUUGAAAUGAAACUUUGAAAACCAAAGUAGAAUACACCUAGAAUGCUCCAGCAAUCCAAAUUGAAUGACUAGCAUAACUCCAAGCAAUCCUCCUUCCUUGCAAAUAUGCGGCACCAAGGUGUGAGUGGUGAAUGGAUGGUCUCUUGUGGAGGUGGAUGGAUAUAGGUGAGUUAUGGUGAAGGGUGGAGAGUUGUGUAGAUGAUGUGGUGUCUUUGGAUGAUGGCUCCCAAAUUAUGGUGAAGGGUGGAUGUAUUUAUAGGCUAGGGAGAGGAGUGUAUGGAGUUGUAAUGAGUGGAUGUAAUGGGUGUAGUGGGUGAGUGUUGUGGUAAUGAGUGGAUGCAAUGGGUGUAGUGGAUGAGUGUUUGGUAAUGAGUGGAUGUAAUGGAUGUAGUGGGUGGAUG